UGUUGUCGCGCCAGCGGCAUGGCAGGGUAGCUAUGUUCGGAAUGGAUAACCGCUGAAAGCAUCUAAGCGGGAAGCCAACUCCAAGAUAAGUUUUCCCUAAGCUUCGGCUUCUAAAGAUUCCUCGGAGACUACGAGGUUGAUAGGCGGAAGGUGUAAGCACAGUAAUGUGUUUAGCUGAUCCGUACUAAUAAUCGUGAGGCUUUAUUAU
This 208-nucleotide ribosomal RNA is filed under the name Pseudoalteromonas shioyasakiensis. RNAcentral's name for it is "partial 23S ribosomal RNA". It matches the Rfam family "Bacterial large subunit ribosomal RNA", at positions 2719 to 2925 of the family's 2925-position model. Lineage: Bacteria; Pseudomonadati; Pseudomonadota; Gammaproteobacteria; Alteromonadales; Pseudoalteromonadaceae. The record is from RNAcentral.